UACGUAGGGUGCGAGCGUUAAUCGGAAUUACUGGGCGUAAAGCGUGCGUAGGCGGCCAUCUAAGUCAGACGUGAAAUCCCCCGGCUCAACCUGGGAACUGCGUCUGAUACUGGGAGGCUAGAGUUUGGGAGAGGGAUGUAGAAUUCCAGGUGUAGCGGUGAAAUGCGUAGAUAUCGGGAGGAACACCGGUGGCGAAGGCGGGUUCUCUGGGCCUUACCUGACGCUGAGGAGCGAAAGCGUGGGGAGCGAACAGGAUU
Molecule: ribosomal RNA, 257 nt
Filed under: uncultured bacterium
Lineage: Bacteria
Description: partial 16S ribosomal RNA
Rfam family: Bacterial small subunit ribosomal RNA
Source: RNAcentral